This is a long non-coding RNA of Daucus carota subsp. sativus, 444 nucleotides long. RefSeq lists it as uncharacterized. The transcript is spliced from 4 exons. Lineage: Eukaryota; Viridiplantae; Streptophyta; Magnoliopsida; Apiales; Apiaceae. The record is from RefSeq and is a predicted model, not a curated record.
UUUCUUUUGAAGGCGCACAUUCGUUCUUUAUUGGUUGAAUUAGGUUGGAAAUAGGCAACGGAUUAUGUAUGUCGAGGAUGUCCUUUCUCUACUUCUUUCAUAUAUAAGUUGUUUGCAAUUAUUUUCUUAACAGAAUAGUGUCUAUUAUUUUAUAAAUUUAUAUCACACUAACAAAUCUAUUGACUAGGUGUGGUGACGCUAACAUGGUAGAGGUUCCAGUUGAAAUUGAAACACCAGAUCACCACUAUUACCAUGUUGCAUUUUUUACAUCAAGGGAAGUUACUGCUGAUGAAGAAUUAACUUGGGACUAUGGCAUAGACUUUGGUGAUACUAAUCAUCCUAUCAAAGCAUUCAAGUGUUGUUGUGGCAGCAAAUUAUGCAGACAGUAUAAGAAACGAAAGAGAACCAGAUCCAGCUCUUAAAAUUCACAGUUGACCCCUGGAA